Molecule: ribosomal RNA, 468 nt
Filed under: uncultured bacterium
Lineage: Bacteria
Description: bacterial SSU rRNA
Rfam family: Bacterial small subunit ribosomal RNA
Source: RNAcentral
GCAGUAGACGCUGAAGAGAGGAGCUUGCUCUUCUUGGAUGAGUUGCGAACGGGUGAGUAACGCGUAGGUAACCUGCCUUGUAGCGGGGGAUAACUAUUGGAAACGAUAGCUAAUACCGCAUAACAAUGGAUGACACAUGUCAUUUAUUUGAAAGGGGCAAUUGCUCCACUACAAGAUGGACCUGCGUUGUAUUAGCUAGUAGGUGAGGUAACGGCUCACCUAGGCGACGAUACAUAGCCGACCUGAGAGGGUGAUCGGCCACACUGGGACUGAGACACGGCCCAGACUCCUACGGGAGGCAGCAGUAGGGAAUCUUCGGCAAUGGGGGCAACCCUGACCGAGCAACGCCGCGUGAGUGAAGAAGGUUUUCGGAUCGUAAAGCUCUGUUGUAAGUCAAGAACGAGUGUGAGAGUGGAAAGUUCACACUGUGACGGUAGCUUACCAGAAAGGGACGGCUAACUACGUGCC